GGCACUAUAGCCAAGUGGUUACGGCGACAGAUUCGAAUCUUGAAGUUCAUCUGUUUUCCUUUGGGAGCACAGGUUCGAGUCCUGCUGGUGUCG
Non-coding RNA from Amylostereum chailletii, 93 nucleotides. Lineage: Eukaryota; Fungi; Basidiomycota; Agaricomycetes; Russulales; Stereaceae. The record is from the annotation of a GenBank genome assembly.